Non-coding RNA from Anolis sagrei ordinatus, 1115 nucleotides. The record is from RefSeq and is a predicted model, not a curated record. Lineage: Eukaryota; Metazoa; Chordata; Lepidosauria; Squamata; Anolidae.
ACCUGUGUUCCAUCUGGAAGGCAGAAGCGCCGCUGGAGCAUUUGGCCAGCGUGGUGGCCUUCUACAUCCAGGCGAGAAGGGUUGGGGUUGGAAGGGGUCUUAGGGCAAGGCUGAGGAGGCAAGGAGGGGAGAGGCAGUGUUUUCCUUUCUGGCUCCAGCCCUUCACGCUUCUCCUCUUCUCUUUCAGCUGCUGCACAUUGGCCAGCGCCCUCACUCCCUGGCGAAGACUUGGACACUGCUGAUGACCUGGCUCCAAUAUCACAGCCUGGCCAUCCAACAUCAGAGUAGGCAGGACCUUCUCCCCCUCUGCAAGACCUACAGGGAGAUGUCAGGCACAGCCCAGGGUCUACACACCACAGAGAAGCCCAGCUAGCUUUGCUCUUGUAGACAGAAUACCUGGGCCUCCAGGAGCUGUUGGACGGGGUCCUCAGGGGGCUGCAAUCCCCCCACAGCAACAUCACUCUGGAGUUCCUGGACCUGGCUGGCUGGCUGGGGCCCUGCUGCAGGAGGAAGACCAGGCCCCCGUGAAGGCUUACCUGGCUGCCGGUUGUUGCCUUAUCUUCCACCACAUGAGUUUUGGCCCCUGGGCCUCCUCCUUGGGGAGGGAGGGGGCUGGCUUCCCCCUCCACCCAAGGCCUGGCGUUGGAGCAGCGCAGUGAGAGUAUUCCACAUGCUCUGUUUUUUAUAGUUUACCUUAUAUAAUUGUAUAGUCUAAUAUUGUAAUAUUUAAUAGUUUUUCUGAUUAGAAUAAAUGUACCUCUUUCUUUUUAAUUUGGUGCUUUAUUGGAUUCCUUUGGGGAAGGAGAGGGAGAUUCAAACCACCCAGGACCUGCAACUCAGGCCCCAUCUACACUGCCCUAUAAUGCAGUUCAAACUGCAUUAUAUGGGGAGUGUAGGCUCAUAUAAUGCAAUUUAAUGCAGUUAAACUGCUUUAUAUGAAUUUACACUAACCAUAUAAUACAGUAUGAACUGCAUUAAAUUGACAGCAUAGGUGAGGCCUAAGAGGAGAUCGCCAUGCUGGUGUUUAGUUUAUGCAAAUAUUUGUGUAUGUUAAGAUCAUAUUGUGACCAUGAUGGCAUGGUUGUGUAAAUAAAAUAUGUAUAUUUUUAGAAGAA